ACGCGUUUGUCCAAGACCUUGCUCACCAAGUUUGGCAUCAACAAGGAACGAGUGGAGGCCCAAGCGCAUGCCUUCAAGACCACGGAGUCUUGUGUUGUCAAGGUAUGUUGCUGGAUGACUGUGAGGUGCUACCAGUAGGGCAAGCUUUGUCAUUGCAUUGUGUGAUGCAUGGCAUAUAGGGUUACAGGGUUACAGAAAGGAAGGCCUUCAGUCAAAACGUGCGACUGCUAGCCUGCUCAUGCGUGAUGCAUGGCAUACAGGGUUACAGGGUUACAGAAAGGAAGGCCUUCAGUCAAAACGUGCGACUGCUAGCCUGCUCAUGCGUGAUGCAUUGCAUACACUUGGGCGGUGGAGCCCCUCGCAGAUUUUACUUCCUCGUUGUUUUCAAGGCAUGGCGUUAGAUUUGGUACGCAGCCUGACUUACACGCUUCACCCGACGAUCAAGUUCAGCCUGGUUGUUGAGCACCAACGACACGCCUGAAAGGCCAUCCUGGAGGUCGUUCACCAUGAAGGCCAUGGAGCUGUGUGCUAUCAAGAAACGUUGCAAGAUGACUGAUUCUGUGAAUGAGCGGCACACUUUGAUGCAUGUGGUGUCUUUGCACUUCCGCCUUUGAAUUCAGACCUCAUGCAAUGCUUCUCACAUUCCUUGCCAUGCACUCAAGCCGUGCCAUGCACUCAAGCCGUGUCAUGCACUCAAGCCGUGCCAUGCACUCAAUUCCUUGCCAUGUACUCAAGCCAUGCCAUGCACUCCAAAAGCAAGUAAGGCCAUUUGUCAGCAUUAAUGCGCAGUGCAUCUCACACAUUGAAUCCAGGCCAAGGCCAAUCAUUCAAGGAAUCGACCAACGAAGGCCCAAGUGUAGCCAACAAAGGCUCAACCACGGCCAAUCACUUACGAGGCACCAGUCUCAAGCUGUGCCAAUGAAGGCGCAAGUAUGGCCAAUCAUGGCCCAUUUACAUGCUUUGUUGGCGGCAGGAGCCGCAAAGGCCCAGACCUGCGCCUUGACAUUCAAGCCUUUGUGGCGACGGCGAAGGCGCGCCAAAGCUUGGAGGCUUGCACCUUCAUAACAAUGUCUCUGUGGCAUCAAGGCUCGCAAAGGCUCAAGUUGGUGCCUUCACAACAACCUGCUUGCUCUGCUUGUCUCCUUUUUUGCAGGUGCCAUGAUAACCACAUAGAGUAUGCAGAGCAGAGCCACAGAACAAGCUGAAGGAGAAAUGAGAUACGACACAGAAGUGCAAUUCGGAUCAUGGCUCAGUGGCAUCUGAUUUGCUAAAGAAGGCACACAUUUCUUAUUUAGUACUUUAAUUACAUUAAGACAGGUUGAUUUUAAGAAGAUUGGGGAAUGUUUAGCAUAUUGUUAUAUUGGUUUAACAGCCGUUACAUUAAUAUGUUAAGCAGCAAGGUUAAAAUAAACCUGAAUGUUUGUUUUAACCGCUAUAGAAAAAAUCGUCUAGGAAAAAACCUUCCUGAUUUGCUAAUGAAGGCAUGUACCUGCCUCGAACACUUCAACCUUAUGAUGCAGGUGGUUGGGCAUUGUCCAACAUAAAGGCACAGAAUGGAUACAAUAUUGUGAUGGCCUGACAGGCAGGAAGCAGGAGGUUGGGCACAUAAAACAAGCAUAAAGGCGCAGAAAGAACAUGAAGGCGCAGGCCAAACAUUAUGGAACUGGCCCAACAUUUGUGAGCACACACGCAAAUGGUUGGCACAGGCCAGACAUAUUUGUUGUUGUCAUCUCAUUCGUAAACACAAGUGCAUACGACCUGUAAGGCUCAGCUUUGAUGUUGGCCAAACCUCUGUGAUGUAGGUGGUGGGGCACAGGCCAAACAUCUCUGAAGCGGACUUGAUGGCGGUGGUCAAGCGCGUGGAGGAGAUGGAGGCAUCGGUAGGUACUCUAGUUUGAGGAUUACCUUUCAUAGGUCGGGCAUGCACGCAUCUAUGCUGUCUGUCAGCCAUCUUAUGGCCUUGUUCCAUCUUCACUUCUGUUGUCAUGCCAGAUCCCCCCUAGCCUCCUCUUUGUUCCUGCCUUACUGGUAAAGGAGACUUACAGCUUUUCCAGCUGGUGUAUCCUAAUCAUUGAUGACGGAAGAGUUUCUGUGCUCCUGUGAAGUUCCUUCCUUUUUACAAGGAUUGAAGGUGACUUCCUCACUUGUCAAAAUUCCCCACCAGAAUGAGGAGCAGCUCAGACCAAGCAGCAAGGGUAUUAGAUGAUCAAGAUGGCACCGAGGCUCCUAUUGUGUUGUCUGGAAUGUCCAUGACUAGGAAAAAGGAGAAAGAUGCACAAUCAGAAGGAAGGGAUUGCGCCUCCUCCUAUGACCUGAAUGUCCAUGCAGGCGAUUGGAUUAAAGGAGAGUGAAACACAAGUUUCUAGCUUGCUUGUUUUCCUUCUUACCAGGCUUGCACAACGUCAGGGGAAGGGACAAGCCAUGUUUUGGGGCAUCCUUGAAAAAAAAACUAGCCCUCAUUUGCUAACGAGGAAUGGGAAAGGAAGGGCAAUCAAUGAGCCACCUGUUGCGAUGAGCCACCUGUGCGAUGAGCCACCUGUGUGAUGAACCACCUGUACAAUAAGCCACCUGUGCGAUGAGCCACCUGUGUGAUGAACCACCUGUACAAUAAGCCACCUGUGCGAUGAGCCACCUGUGCGAUGAGCCACCUGUGCAAUGAGCCACCUGUGCAAUGAGCCACCUGUGCGAUGAGCCACCUGUGCGAUGGGCCACCUGUGCAAUGAGCCACCUGUGCGAUGAGCCACCUGUGCUCCUAUAACUGCGAUUUGCCUCUCGGGAAACAUUGCUCUGGUGAGAAUGAAAAUCAGGCCAUAGGAGGAAGGCCAUUUACUGGAGGAGAAGCAGAAUGACGGACGCAAUCAUACAAGCAGAGCAGCACGACGUACCGUUUUGCUAGCCAUUGUUGUUUGAUUUCUUUGCCCACAUGCCCACAUCUCGUCAUGCCACUGCUAUAUGACGCUAUGUGACUGAUAUGCAGGGCCAAAUCGGGCCUUGGCAAGGAGACCUGGAAGUGCCAGACGCACUCAUGCAAAA
Molecule: long non-coding RNA, 3033 nt
Filed under: Dunaliella salina
Lineage: Eukaryota; Viridiplantae; Chlorophyta; Chlorophyceae; Chlamydomonadales; Dunaliellaceae
Description: long non-coding RNA (DSAL_LNC000037)
Source: RNAcentral